GGUGUGUGCCACCAAGCCUCGCAUGUCAGUUAAUUUCUUCAUGGUAUAUUAUCCUGGACAAUGGGAGUAGUACUUUGCAAAUGUGUAAAUAUUUUGGAUUCUAAUAUCUUCCUCUGGAGAAGUUUGAUUUUUGUUUUAGGAAGGAGUUUAGUUUUUAGCUACCAUUGUGACCUUGGGGUUUGGGAUCUAGGGAGGUUAUAGUUUGUUCAACCCAGGUAGUGAAAGGCUAAGGAGUUUCCCAAAGCCCUCUAAAUUGCUCUUCUUUUCCUUUCUUUGAUACUAAGAAUUGAACCUAGGAGUGCUUAAUCACUGAAUCAUAUCCCCAUUCCCUUUUUAAAAUUUUGAGACAGUGUCUUGCUAAGUUGCUGAAGCUGGCUUUGAACUUGUGAUCCUCCUGCUUCAACCUCCCAAGUGGCCACCACACCCAGCUUC
RNAcentral lists this long non-coding RNA (432 nucleotides) under Marmota monax (woodchuck). The record is from RNAcentral. Lineage: Eukaryota; Metazoa; Chordata; Mammalia; Rodentia; Sciuridae.